RNAcentral lists this ribosomal RNA (497 nucleotides) under uncultured bacterium. RNAcentral's name for it is "partial 16S ribosomal RNA". It matches the Rfam family "Bacterial small subunit ribosomal RNA", at positions 28 to 507 of the family's 1533-position model. The record is from RNAcentral.
GACGAACGCUGGCGGCGUGCCUAAUACAUGCAAGUUGAGCGCUGAAGGUUGGUACUUGUACCAACUGGAUGAGCAGCGCACGGGUGAGUAACGCGUGGGGAAUCUGCCUUUGAGCGGGGGACAACAUUUGGAAACGAAUGCUAAUACCGCAUAAAAACUUUAAACACAAGUUUGAAGUUUGAAAGAUGCAAUUGCAUCACUCAAAGAUGAUCCCGCGUUGUAUUAGCUAGUUGGUGAGGUAAAGGCGCACCAAGGCGAUGAUACAUAGCCGACCUGAGAGGGUGGUCGGCCACAUUGGGACUGUGACACGGCCCAAACUCCUUCGGGAGGCAGCAGUAGGGAAUCUUCGGCAAUGGACGAAAGUCUGACCGAGCAACGCCGCGUGAGUGAAGAAGGUUUUCGGAUCGUAAAACUCUGUUGGUAGAGAAGAACGUUGGUGAGAGUGGAAAGCUCAUCAAGUGACGGUAACUACCCAGAAAGGGACGGCUAACUACGUG